RNAcentral lists this ribosomal RNA (253 nucleotides) under uncultured bacterium. RNAcentral describes it as "partial 16S ribosomal RNA". It matches the Rfam family "Bacterial small subunit ribosomal RNA", at positions 524 to 776 of the family's 1533-position model. The record is from RNAcentral.
UACGGAGGGGGCUAGCGUUGUUCGGAAUUAUUGGGCGUAAAGCGCGCGCAGGCGGUCCUUUAAGUCUGAUGUGAAAGCCCACGGCUCAACCGUGGAGGGCCAUUGGAAACUGGGGGACUUGAGUGCAGAAGAGGAAAGCGGAAUUCCACGUGUAGCGGUGAAAUGCGUAGAGAUGUGGAGGAACACCAGUGGCGAAGGCGGCUUUCUGGUCUGUAACUGACGCUGAGGCGCGAAAGCGUGGGGAGCAAACAGG